This 500-nucleotide ribosomal RNA is filed under the name uncultured bacterium. RNAcentral's name for it is "partial 16S ribosomal RNA". It matches the Rfam family "Bacterial small subunit ribosomal RNA", at positions 28 to 507 of the family's 1533-position model. The record is from RNAcentral.
GACGAACGCUGGCGGCGUGCUUAACACAUGCAAGUCGAACGGGUCUGCCCUGUUUUUUGCGGGGUGGGUCAGUGGCGAACGGGUGAGUAACACGUGAGUAACCUGCCCCUCACUUCUGGAUAACCGCUUGAAAGGGUGGCUAAUACGGGGUGUUCUGGCUGUGCCGCAUGGUGUGGCUGGGAAAGAUUCACUUUUGUGGUGUUUUGGUGGGGGAUGGGCUCGCGGCCUAUCAGCUUGUUGGUGGGGUGAUGGCCUGCCAAGGCUUUGAGGGGUAGCCGGCCGGGGAGGGUGGGCGGUCACACUGGGACUGAGAUACGGCCCAGACUCCUGCGGGAGGCAGCAGUGGGGGGUAUUGCACAAUGGGCGGAAGCCUGAUGCAGCGACGUGGCGUGAGGGAUGGAGGCCGUCGGGUUGUGAACCUCUUUCGCCGGUGAAGAAGGUCCUGCUAUUUGGGGUGGGGUUGACGGUAGCCGGGUUAUGAAGCGCCGGCUAACUACGUG